UACGUAGGUGGCAAGUGUUAUCCGGAAUUACUGGGCGUAAAGCGUGUGUAGGUGGUCAAGUAAGUCAAGUGUGAAAUCUCUAGGCUCAACCUUGAAAUCGCAGUCGAAACUAGAUGACUAGAGUAUAGUAGAGGUAAAUGGAAUUUCCAGUGUAGCGGUGAAAUGCGUAGAUAUUGGAAAGAACACCAGUGGCGAAGGCGGUUUUCUGGACUAAUACUGACACUGAGGCACGAAAGCUAGGGGAGCAAACGGG
This 253-nucleotide ribosomal RNA is filed under the name uncultured bacterium. RNAcentral describes it as "partial 16S ribosomal RNA". It matches the Rfam family "Bacterial small subunit ribosomal RNA", at positions 524 to 776 of the family's 1533-position model. The record is from RNAcentral.